GACGCUGGCGGCAGGCCUACACAUGCAAGUCGAGCGCACCUUCGGGUGAGCGGCGGACGGGUGAGUAACGCGUGGGAACGUGCCCUUCUCUGCGGAAUAGCCACUGGAAACGGUGAGUAAUACCGCAUACGCCCUUCGGGGGAAAGAUUUAUCGGAGAAGGAUCGGCCCGCGUUAGAUUAGGUAGUUGGUGGGGUAAUGGCCUACCAAGCCUACGAUCUAUAGCUGGUUUGAGAGGAUGAUCAGCCACACUGGGACUGAGACACGGCCCAGACUCCUACGGGAGGCAGCAGUGGGGAAUCUUAGACAAUGGGCGCAAGCCUGAUCUAGCCAUGCCGCGUGAGUGAUGAAGGCCUUAGGGUCGUAAAGCUCUUUCGCUGGGGAAGAUAAUGACUGUCCCAGUAAAGAAACCCCGGCUACUCCGUGCCAGCAGCCGCGGUAAUACNGAGGGGGUUAGCCGUUG
This 461-nucleotide ribosomal RNA is filed under the name marine bacterium SE95. Its description in RNAcentral is "bacterial SSU rRNA". It matches the Rfam family "Bacterial small subunit ribosomal RNA", at positions 35 to 539 of the family's 1533-position model. Lineage: Bacteria; Pseudomonadati; Pseudomonadota; Alphaproteobacteria; Rhodobacterales; Paracoccaceae. The record is from RNAcentral.